CCUACGGGAGGCAGCAGUGAGGAAUAUUGGUCAAUGGACGAGAGUCUGAACCAGCCAAGUAGCGUGAAGGAUGACUGCCCUAUGGGUUGUAAACUUCUUUUAUAUGGGAAUAAAACGUUCCACGUGUGGGAUUUUGUAUGUACCAUAUGAAUAAGGAUCGGCUAACUCCGUGCCAGCAGCCGCGGUAAUACGGAGGAUCCGAGCGUUAUCCGGAUUUAUUGGGUUUAAAGGGAUCGUAGGUGGAUUGUUAAGUCAGUUGUGAAAGUCUGCGGCUCAACCGUAAAAUUGCAGUUGAAACUGGCAGUCUUGAGUACAGUAGAGGUGGGCGGAAUUCGUGGUGUAGCGGUGAAAUGCUUAGAUAUCACGAAGAACUCCGAUUGCGAAGGCAGUUCACUGGACUGCAACUGACACUGAGGCUCGAAAGUGUGGGUAUCAAACAGGAUUAGAUACCCGAGUAGUC
RNAcentral lists this ribosomal RNA (460 nucleotides) under uncultured bacterium. RNAcentral describes it as "partial 16S ribosomal RNA". It matches the Rfam family "Bacterial small subunit ribosomal RNA", at positions 338 to 795 of the family's 1533-position model. The record is from RNAcentral.